Molecule: ribosomal RNA, 654 nt
Filed under: Hepatozoon sp.
Lineage: Eukaryota; Apicomplexa; Hepatozoidae
Description: SSU rRNA
Rfam family: Eukaryotic small subunit ribosomal RNA
Source: RNAcentral
UACAGCAAAACUGCAAAUGGCUCAUUAAAACAGUUAUGGUUUACUUGAUAAUAAUUUUUACAUGGAUAACCGUGGUAAUUCUACAGCUAAUACAUGAGCAAAAUCUCAACUUUAUUAGAAGAGACGCAUUUAUUAGAUAAAAAGCCAAUGCAUGCUUUUACAGUAUGAAAAUUGGUGAUUUAUAAUAACUUAGCAAAUCGCAAAGUGAAAACAGGCGAUAAAUCAUUCAAGUUUCUGACCUAUCAGCUUUCGACGGUAUGGUAUUGGCUUACCGUGGCAGUGACGGUUAACGGGGGAUUAGGGUUCGAUUCCGGAGAGGGAGCCUGAGAAACGGCUACCACAUCUAAGGAAGGCAGCAGGCGCGCAAAUUACCCAAUUCUAACAGUUUGAGAGAGGUAGUAACAAGAAAUAACAAUACAAGGCAGUUAAAAUGCUUUGUAAUUGGAAUGAUAGAAAUUUAAACCCUUUUUAAAGUAUCAAUUGGAGGGCAAGUCUGGUGCCAGCAGCCGCGGUAAUUCCAGCUCCAAUAGCGUAUAUUAAAAUUGUUGCAGUUAAAAAGCUCGUAGUUGAAGUUCUGCUAAAAGUAACCGGUCUGCUUUUAAUAAAGGUGGUAUCUUGGUGUGUAUUUAGCAAUGAUGUCCUUUGAAGUGUUUU